AGAACGAACGCUGGCGGCAGGCUUAACACAUGCAAGUCGAACGGAUGUAGCAAUACAUUAGUGGCGCACGGGUGAGUAACACGUGGGAACGUACCCUUCAGUCGGGGAUAACGUCGGGAAACUGACGCUAAAAACCCGAUAUUCCCUCCGGGGGAAAGUUUACGCUGAAGGAUCGGCCCGCGCUAGAUUAGGUAGUUGGUAGGGUAAUGGCCUACCAAGCCUACGAUCUAUAGCUGGUCUGAGAGGACGACCAGCCACACUGGAACUGAGACACGGUCCAGACUCCUACGGGAGGCAGCAGUGGGGAAUAUUGGACAAUGGGCGAAAGCCUGAUCCAGCCAUGCCGCGUGAGUGAUGAAGGCCUUAGGGUGUAAAGCACUUUUAGUGGGGAUGAAAAGCUCAGGGUUAACACCUCUGGGUCUUGACCUAACCCACAGAAAAGCACCGGCUAACUCUGUGCCAGCAGCCGC
RNAcentral lists this ribosomal RNA (470 nucleotides) under uncultured bacterium. RNAcentral's name for it is "SSU rRNA". It matches the Rfam family "Bacterial small subunit ribosomal RNA", at positions 26 to 518 of the family's 1533-position model. The record is from RNAcentral.